This is a non-coding RNA of Vicia faba (fava bean), 243 nucleotides long. The record is from the annotation of a GenBank genome assembly. Lineage: Eukaryota; Viridiplantae; Streptophyta; Magnoliopsida; Fabales; Fabaceae.
AUGGCUACCCGUAUCAAUCAUUUGUAUCUUUUCAUUGCAAUUGUGUGUAUCAUUUCCGUUUUGGCUCAAGGCACAUAUGAAGUGGUUGGAAUAAAAGGAAGAUCUAAUAGAGUUCACUGUUUGAAAGCACCUAAUGUGUGUCCAACUCGAGAACGUCCUACAGGAUGCAUUUUACUUUGUGCAAACAUGGGUUUCAUUUUUGGUGGCACCUGUCAAGGAGACCAAUGUUGCUGCGGAGAAUAG